Polypterus senegalus (gray bichir) is the source of this 4445-nucleotide RNA transcript. It is a transcript of the gene named nectin-1-like, with no coding region annotated. Lineage: Eukaryota; Metazoa; Chordata; Cladistia; Polypteriformes; Polypteridae. The transcript is spliced from 11 exons. The record is from RefSeq and is a predicted model, not a curated record.
AUCCGCGAGAAAGAUCCGCCCAUAAUGUCUCCGGUCUGCUCUGCUGCUCCCUCCGAGCUCGGUUGCAAGCUGUGCUUCUUUUUUUUAUUAUUGUGUUUAGAUUCAAGAUUAAAAUGUAAAUUACGAAAGGUAUAUAAGCUUCAAUUAUCAGUGGACCGAUACCGUAACUCUAGGAAUGCUUUGUAGAGAUGGAUGGCGAAGUAAACAAUGAAAGAUUUCUCCCAACAUGCACACAUCAACAAAAGCUUGAGGCCUUGUUUUAAUGUAUUAUAAUGGAUGACACUCCAGGACAUGUGAUUCAUGCAUGGUUCUUAUGGCUGUUACUCCUUAUUUCUUUGAGUAAAGGAAUACGAGUGGUGGAUGGUCCCAUUACUGGAGUGGUAGGGAGCCCAGUCAUCAUUAACUGUCUACUGCUUGAUACAAAUGAAGAAAUUAGGCAGAUAACGUGGCAAAAAGAGAUCAACAGAGAAUACAAAAACUUUUAUAUAUUUACACCUCCUGAUCGUGAACGGAUACUGCUUGACUUUGGCAAGAAGUUUAAACGUAUUGGGAAUAAAUUUAACAACGCCUCUCUACUACUUUCUGAUCCAGACUUAUCCGAUGAAGGGAAUUAUAAAUGCAUUUUUACCAUUUUUCCAAGUGGCCCAUUUGAAAGAGUUAUACAAGUCACAAUAUUUGUUCGUCCAUCUGUCACUGUAACUGUAGACACAGAUGCCAACACUGAAGGAUGUGAAAGCAAUGUUGCUAUUUGCACUGCAGCAAAUGGCAAACCAGAACCUCUUGUCUCUUGGAGUGAUGCUCCAUCUGCAUCCAAAAGUACAGAAAAUACAACAUCUCAAAUAAAUGGGACAUUUACAGUUCGGUCUGUCCUGCGGACAGUGGCUACAAGGAAAAUUAAUGACCACGAAGUGUUUUGUGUUGUGAAGCAGCCUUUGAUCGAUACCAACAUUUCAGUGCCAUUUAGGCUGAAUGUAACUUAUGCUCCAGUUGUUAAAGUACUCAUUGUGGAUCAAAAACCAAAUGAGGUUAUAGCUGACUGUGAAGCAGAUGCUAACCCCCCAGCUUCUCAUUAUACAUGGAGAAAGGAUAAUGAGAGGAUUCUUGAAACUACAAAUAUACAGACAGAAGGAAGUAGGAUGAUUAUUAAAGAGCCAACACCCAGCAUAAAUGGAUUUUACUUCUGUGAAGCUGUAAAUUCAAAAGGCUCUGGAGUUGCCUCACUAUAUUUUUAUUUCACUUCAAGAUCAUACAGUGGUAUGCUUGCUUCUGGAAUUAUAUUGUUGAUGCUUGCCAUGACGACAGUUUUUGCCUUAGCCUGGUAUAAAAUAAAACAAAGGUCUGAAAGUAUUCCAGUUUCUGGCUCACCCUCUGAAACUGUCCAGAUGCAACAAAAUGAUGCUGAUGAGUCUGGUAUGUCAAAUGAAGGCAGGGGGGAAGAUGAAGAAAGUUAAAUUAAUUUACAAUACUAAACUAUAUACAGUCUGAAGUGAGAAACCCAUGAAACAGGCGUGAAACCUCACAUAUAUGAGCUGAAAUUUCACAAAGCAAAACAAAAAAAAAAGGAAGAAAAUGUCAAUUCCAAAAUUAUGCUGAUGUGCCUCUUAUGUUGAGGAACCAUAACCAGUCAAAGGUGGAACAAGGCAGUUGACACCACUGGCUAAGACUGGGGAAAGGAAAUGCUUUGAAUCCUGGUGUUCAGAAAAGCUAAAGAUUGCAGCAGAGAGUCGAAGACAGCAAGAAUUUCCAGAGAAUAUGAUCUUGGACAACCCUAGAACUUUUAGUUGCUUAUUGUGGCUUUAUUUGACUUUAUUUAAUGAUGUCUAUAUAAACAAUUCUAUUUUAGCUCAAAGUAAUUUUCCUGUUUUUCUCACAAGUGGAAACCCUUGUUAUGGCAAUAGAGUCAUGUACCUAUAUGGAUUAGUAGUUGAUAGAGAAUAUGGUUUUAGUGCUCAGUCAAUUCUUUAGGUGGUGUACACAUCUUUUGAAACUAGUUUAGGAGCUUAGCCACGACACAAUAUCCAUCCACCUAAUUUUGAACCCUGUUUACUAGUGUGGGUAUUGAGCCAGUGAACCUGAAGAUGUAAUGCAGCACAGUUAACGAGUAUGCUUUUAAUGUUUCUUUAGUUAUUUAUUACAAAAGCUAUAGUGCUCUUAUUAGAAAAUUCAUUAACAUUUUUAUGUAUUUUUAAGGACUUGGUAAGCAAGUACAGAUGGAUGUCUAAGGGUAUUUUUCUCUUAUGCAAUACUCAUUGCUAGUGUUCAUUAAUUUAUGUGAUGCUUACUUGUAUAUAAGUGAAGAAGAAAACCUGAUUUUGAGGUGUCAAUUAAAGUUUGCCGUAACUCUGAAUUUUUGUGAGACAGGGUUAUUCAUCUGGAUCAAAUUGUAAAAGUCUUCACAGUUGUUUAUGGAAUUGCUUGAUUGGUCUAACAAGCAUGAUAACUUUUGUAAUUAUGAUGAGAAUGACUGCAGAGUUUUCUAUCCAUCCAUAUCUUCAUUUUCAAAUCCACUUUGUUCAAUCCAGGGUUGCUGGAUAGUCUCAGCAGGAGCUAACUGUAGAUAGGGUCUUUGUGUGUGGGUGUGCGUGUGUUUGUGUGUGUAUAUGUAUAACAAUCGCCUUGUUUUGUGGAAAACUCCAUGUUUUUAUAUAAAUAUAUAAAGUUUCUGCUGUAAAGAUGAGCAAGGAAAUCACUGAAUAUUAUUGACUGUGAAAAAGCAGUUUAGUUAUAGUUUUUAUUUAUUUUAUGUUUGUAUAUUUAAGUGUAGUGUAUAUUUGUUCAUUCGAUCAUCUUCAAAAAUACAAAUCUCAGUCAGCUUUUGGGAUUGGAAUUGUCAGGCUAUUGAUGUAGAUAUCAUCAGGUUCACGUGGAUGAUCCUCAACCUAAAAAAAUUACAAAAGUAUCACAAAACACUACAGAGCUAUAAAGUGGUCAUCAAAAACACAUUUAAAAACAUAAAAUACAACACUAAAAAUAAAAUAUAUAUGGUGGGCAUGGUUUUAAGUAAUUAAUUUAUAUAUUUUAAGUUGGUAUUGAAAAUAAUCACCCCAUCUGAAUAUACAGUAUUCACAUUUUGUUCCUUAACAGCUUAAAAUGAAAACACACACAAAAAUAUUUUUUUCAGAUUCAUUUACUUGAUGCAACUUAAAAUGUCCAAUGUGAAUAUUUUCGAAGGGUGUGAUUAUUUUUUAAAUCCACUGUAUAUUUUUUGCCCUAAUGACAAGGAAUUUCUGGGAGAAAAGAAAUGUCAGGGUGAUGCAGGAUAUUAGCUUGUUAGUAUGUGCAUAGAUAGGAGCAUCCAAGGGACAGAAAUAGCUCUAAUUAUAGAUGGGUAAUUCUGAAUUUUAAUUAUCCGAGUACAAGGUGGAUGGCCAUGCAGAAUUAACAGCUUUUGAUCUGAAGCAGUAGGAAUGCUACAGAGAGUCUCAUGGUGGGGCUCUGGAUCCCUUCAGUUAAAGCAAAUGUACCCUAAUAACCAUGAAAAGCACCUGCUCCCUUCUUAUCUGUCAGAGUUGGUGAUAUGGGUUGCAUUGGCACUUUGGAGGCUUUUGAGCCUCCACACUAAGUCUAAACUCUGUAAGUAGAGUAUAGAGUCAGCUGGCAGACAGGCAAGAUACACCACAGGACUGGAGAGAGAUAGGGAGAGAAUGUGAGCCAGACUACUUAUUCAUGAUGUUUAAUAGGUGGUAGAGUGGAUGUGUCUAGUGGUGCAGACAGGCUGGCUUUUGGUACUGAUGGUGUAUGUCAACUCCUUUCUCCUUGUAUUUGUCUUUCUGCUUUACGUAACAUUAUCAGAAGCAGCAGACUGUUUUGUGUUUUAAUUGUUACUUUGUACUUUCUGAUGAUUUUCUCUUCCUUGUAAUUAUUACUUUCUUAAUGUAACACUUAUUUUAGAGACAGUUUGGCUUCCAUGGUGUCAAUUUGCAAGGCUAUAAGCCCAAUUUUCUUGUAGGGCUGAAGCAAAAGAAGACUUUAUCCUAAAAGUUCUUCUGUGAAGGAUUACUUUGUUUUAAAAAGCAUGUUUGGAUGCAUCUCAGAGCCACUUACCUGCUGGUUACUUACUGCUUUGUCAUUCUCAUUUUGCUUUUUGCAACUGUGAAUAAAGAGAAUCAGAGUAUCAAUAGUUUACUAACCAAAAUGAGUUUCAAAGCACUAUGGUAGUGUCUGGAAGGAAUUAUUAAAAUAUAAAAUGCUGCAUUAGAGUGUCAUUUAGACAGUAAUUUUUAUUUAAUGUAAGUUAAAUCUACUGUUGCAAAGCUUUUUUCAGUCACAACCUGAGUCAAAUAUCUCAAAAUAAAUUAUCACUAUCUAGUUUACCACUUUAUUUAAAUACUGAAAAUAGUACUGAAUGUUUUAACUUGAAGUCUCUUGUGUCUUGCCUUCUUUGUUUACAUUAGUCCAUGUAAAACAGAGAAAUGUACCAAAUUAAAAUACCCUUCUUUUUAUUU